Long non-coding RNA from Perognathus longimembris pacificus (Pacific pocket mouse), 168 nucleotides. RefSeq lists it as uncharacterized. The record is from RefSeq and is a predicted model, not a curated record. NCBI's taxonomy places the organism in Eukaryota, Metazoa, Chordata, Mammalia, Rodentia, Heteromyidae. The transcript is spliced from 3 exons.
CCAUAAUUAUAAAUACUUUGAGUCAAGAGAGCUGCCGCUUUAAUUAAAAUACAAAUCAAUACACCAAUCAGCAUACAUUUAUUGACUAUUCCCUGUAGAGAAGAGGCUGUCCUGAUCGUAAAGGAGCGUGGACACAGCGUCAGGCAUGGUCUCUGGCCUCGCAGGCCU